Molecule: non-coding RNA, 73 nt
Organism: Bos taurus (domestic cattle)
Lineage: Eukaryota; Metazoa; Chordata; Mammalia; Artiodactyla; Bovidae
Source: Rfam
UCAGCAGUGGUCCAGUGGUUAGGACAAUGCACUUCCACUGCAAGGGGCCUGGGUUCAAUCUCUAGUUGAAGAG